RNAcentral lists this ribosomal RNA (496 nucleotides) under uncultured bacterium. RNAcentral describes it as "partial 16S ribosomal RNA". It matches the Rfam family "Bacterial small subunit ribosomal RNA", at positions 29 to 507 of the family's 1533-position model. The record is from RNAcentral.
AUGAACGCUGGCGGCGUGCCUAAUACAUGCAAGUCGAGCGAACAGACGAGGAGCUUGCUCCUCUGACGUUAGCGGCGGACGGGUGAGUAACACGUGGAUAACCUACCUAUAAGACUGGGAUAACUUCGGGAAACCGGAGCUAAUACCGGAUAAUAUAUUGAACCGCAUGGUUCAAUAGUGAAAGACGGUUUUGCUGUCACUUUUAGAUGGAUCCGCGCCGCAUUAGCUAGUUGGUAAGGUAACGGCUUACCAAGGCAACGAUGCGUAGCCGACCUGAGAGGGUGAUCGGCCACACUGGAACUGAGACACGGUCCAGACUCCUACGGGAGGCAGCAGUAGGGAAUCUUCCGCAAUGGGCGAAAGCCUGACGGAGCAACGCCGCGUGAGUGAUGAAGGUCUUCGGAUCGUAAAACUCUGUUAUUAGGGAAGAACAAAUGUGUAAGUAACUAUGCACGUCUUGACGGUACCUAAUCAGAAAGCCACGGCUAACUACGUG